Molecule: long non-coding RNA, 551 nt
Filed under: Homo sapiens (human)
Lineage: Eukaryota; Metazoa; Chordata; Mammalia; Primates; Hominidae
Description: HSALNT0394048
Source: RNAcentral
GUACAGCUCACACAGGGAAAGGGGAAAACAGCAACCUCUUGAGCUGGAGCCUUAGGCUAGAAAAGAUCACUGAUUACCCACCUGUUCCCCCUGGAUACUAGGGCUUCAAUCCAGAAGGUGCUGUGAUGAAGUGGCUUCAGCAAAAUAUUACCUGAGACAUCCUGAUCCAUUAUGAGAACGGAUUCUCUCUACUCUCUGUCGCCCAGGCUGGAGUGCAAUGGUGCUAUCUCGGCUCACCACAACCUUCGCCUCCCGGGUUCAAGAGAUUUUUCUGCCUCAGCUUCCUGAAAACCUAGGACUACAGGCGUGUGCCACCACACUCAGCUAAUUUUUAUUUUUUCUCCGUGUUAGCCAGGCUGGUCUCAAACUCCUGACCUCGUGAUCCGCCUGCCUCGGCCUCCCGAAGUGCUAGGAUUACAGGUGUGAGCCACCACGCUCGGCCUGUUUUUCCUUCUUAUACAACACCUACCACAUUAUAUUAUGAUUAAUAAUGCAUGCUUUUCUUUUUUAGUUUUUGAGUUUCUGCCAGGUUGCGGGGGAGAUGAAGUGUU